UCCCCGUUAACAUUGGGUACCAUCCUACUGAAGAUGUGAAAAUCUUGUCUAAAGUUUACCAUCUCAUAAUAAAAAGAAUACUGUACAAGUACGAUUUCUUUUCUUUCUCCUAUGGCUGUACAAGUAAUCUUUUUCAUGGGCUUCCUACAGGACCCGCAAUUUAUGGAGAAGCCUGCCUGAGAAGUGGCAGAGAAUUUAUUCU
Molecule: unclassified non-coding RNA, 202 nt
Filed under: Hevea brasiliensis (rubber tree)
Lineage: Eukaryota; Viridiplantae; Streptophyta; Magnoliopsida; Malpighiales; Euphorbiaceae
Source: RNAcentral